This 82-nucleotide transfer RNA is filed under the name Acinetobacter baumannii BJAB07104. RNAcentral describes it as "tRNA-Leu". The record is from RNAcentral. Lineage: Bacteria; Pseudomonadati; Pseudomonadota; Gammaproteobacteria; Moraxellales; Moraxellaceae.
ACGGCUUAGUUGGUUUCCGUGAUCCAAAUGGUAUCCGUCCGCUUAUUUACGGUUCUCGUGUAACUGAGCAAGGCGAGAUGGA